RNAcentral lists this ribosomal RNA (462 nucleotides) under Triticum aestivum (bread wheat). RNAcentral's name for it is "partial small subunit ribosomal RNA". The record is from RNAcentral. Lineage: Eukaryota; Viridiplantae; Streptophyta; Magnoliopsida; Poales; Poaceae.
AUGGCCGACCAACCACCAGCAGAGAUAAACCUCCAUAUGAUGACUGAGGCGGGAGAAGCAACAAGUUCAGGCGACAGUCAGCUGCAGAGGAUGCUGAAAAAUGCGGCACAAGCAAACGAACACGCUUCUGCAGCAUGUGCCGAGCACCAGGACACAAGAGCACAACUUGUCCACAAAGAGGAGAUCUUCCACCAAAAGAAAGAAAAGAGGCGAAAUGCUCAAAUUGUGGCGUCGGUGGGCACAGGAGAAACACCUGCAGCAACCCAAAACUUGUCCUGCAUGUUGUCGAGAAGACUACUUUGGGAACAAUCGGAAAUUGUUAAUGUCUCCACAGUUAGUACUAAAUCAAAUUUCUGUACUAGUAUGCAGCAUCCGUUUGUGAGUGUUGCCUGUGACAUGUUGUUAUGUUUCCAUCAGCACCUCGACUAUCUCAUAAGUUUGUUAAACGUUUUGUGUAAUUGA